GGUGCACUCUCCUCAAUUCUUGAAGUCUGGGGAUUAAAAAUCUGUGUACUUCUGCUUGGAUAAACAUGCACGGGCUCAUGGACACAGGAAGAGGCAUUCUUUCAAGAGGAGGAUUCUUCCCCAAAUUUCAUGACAGGAUGGGAGGUGAAUCAUGCUGUCUGCCUUGCAGAUACACAAUACUGCUACCACAGCCUCGGCAGAGAUGCAGAGGAGAUCAGCCCGGGUUAAGAAAUGAAACAUGAUGAGGUGGUUUUGAAACAGUCAUGUCACAGGACCAGACACCUUCACGUCUGGAUUUGCACAGGUCUUUGGCCAAGUUAGAUGAUGAGAGCAGAGAAAGUCUUCACCUGAGAUAAGGAGUCCCCUUUGUCCUGUCUGAGAGACAAGAAUCCGCUGGAGAGAACUGAGGAGGAGGAAUGAGAGUGGUUGGAAGUUCUGCAAACGUGUCAAGUCUGAGAAGGGACAAGGGAAAAGCAAUCACAGAGAAAACUGCUUCAAGAGCACCGCUCCAUGUCACACCUCAGCAGUGCAUGUUUGGGUGAGCUUCCACAGAAGGGUUGCCUGGGUUCUCUGGGAAGCCAAGUGGUGCAGCCACCGAGAGCAAGUGCCACUGAGAUGCCCAAGUUCAUCCUCCAAACACUGCGGCAUGUGGGGCUGAAAUUCAAUAGGGGUUUCAAAGAAGAGGGGUGGAGCAGGUGUUGGUUCAUCUCACCGACUGCAGGGCCAUCCCUGGGAGUGCCUGCAGGGCAGCAGGAGGUGGGGCUGGAACUUGGCACGGUUGUUCCCCAGGCACUGGUGAGUGUGUGCUGAGCCAGCAGGACAUGGCAGAGCCCUGACGGAGCUUCCCCCCUGGACACACCGCCUUUAGUCUAGCAAGAAACUACUAAAGAAUCUACCAAAAAACACCAUGGUUGUAUGACUGGGAUGAAUCUAAAGUUUCAAAGAUGAUGGUAAGAAGUGUUUAAUUUUGCUGUUUGAUUGUGAACUACACACUGCAUCUGUUAGAUAGUGUUUUGGCUCAAAAAAUCUAAAAAAACCCUGAUUUACUAUACUUUUGCAUCUCCCUUUCAAAUACAUGUAGAGAGAGACCAGAAAGCCACUUUAAGCACUAGCCCUUUUCUCCAGGUGGCAUUUUUUGGUGUUAUCAGUUCAUGGUGUGAGGGAUACAUGUGAUUAUCUUCCUGCAAACUGUGGAGCAUCUCCAAGGCUUAGAUAAAUUUCUGUUUUGUUUCACUGAAGGAAGCCACAAUUUGAAACUGUUACGAAAACGACAAAGAACUACCCAAAGCUACCUAUGUAUGUGCAGAGUUCCAGUAUUUAUACUUUACCUGCAGGCUGGGAGGAUGGAAUCCUUCAGCUGAAGCCAUUUGAAAUGUAUGGAUGUAGAUUAAGACAGCUGUCUCCAGCAUUCUUUACAGAGGUAGUUGCUGGCAGGGGGCACUUCAUUUCAAAGUCUGUCUGCAUUCAUGUUUUACAGAGCCUAGACAAU
Prinia subflava (tawny-flanked prinia) is the source of this 1489-nucleotide long non-coding RNA. RefSeq lists it as uncharacterized. NCBI's taxonomy places the organism in Eukaryota, Metazoa, Chordata, Aves, Passeriformes, Cisticolidae. The transcript has 7 exons. The record is from RefSeq and is a predicted model, not a curated record.